CAAACCAAAGCUGGCGACCGGCGCACGGGUGAGUAAUACGUAUCCAACCUGCCUCAUACUCGGGGAUAGCCUUUCGAAAGAAAGAUUAAUAUCCGAUAGCAUAUAUUUCCCGCAUGGGUUUUAUAUUAAAGAAAUUCGGUAUGAGAUGGGGAUGCGUUCCAUUAGUUUGUUGGGGGGGUAACGGCCCACCAAGACUACGAUGGAUAGGGGUUCUGAGAGGAAGGUCCCCCACAUUGGAACUGAGACACGGUCCAA
This 255-nucleotide ribosomal RNA is filed under the name uncultured bacterium. Its description in RNAcentral is "partial 16S ribosomal RNA". It matches the Rfam family "Bacterial small subunit ribosomal RNA", at positions 74 to 334 of the family's 1533-position model. The record is from RNAcentral.